This 21673-nucleotide long non-coding RNA is filed under the name Solanum lycopersicum (tomato). Its description in RNAcentral is "long non-coding RNA (SLYC_LNC000377)". Lineage: Eukaryota; Viridiplantae; Streptophyta; Magnoliopsida; Solanales; Solanaceae. The record is from RNAcentral.
UAAAAUCAAGCUCAUGGCAAUAUAAAUAUAAAGAGAUGAAAACAAGAGGAGUAAGAUGAAAGAAAAGAUUUUCUUCUUAUUCAAGUGUAUUUUACAAAAGGUGAAUGAUAUCUCUAUUUAUAGAGUAGAAAUAUCACCCAAAGGCCACCAUGAUAAAUGCUCAAUUAAUAAGUACAUAGUUAUCUAUAAAGGUUCAUGUCACCUUGGAAAUGUAGAUACAUGAUAUGAUAAGUUCAUGAAGAAAGCAAAUGGACAAUCCACACAAUUCAAUGGAUUUAUAACACUCCCUCUUGGAUGUCCAUAGAUAAUGUGCCUCGUUAAAACCUUACUAGGAAAAACCCCAUGGGAAAAAAUUCUAGUGAAGGAAAAAGAGUACACAUAUCUUUUGAUACGCACUAUUUGUUGCCUCAUUAAAAACCUUACCAGGAAAACCCAGUGGGAAAAAAACCUCGGUCAAGGGAAAAAGAGUGCAACGCGUAUUAUACUCCCCCUGAUUUAAACAUCACUUAAUUUCUUGUGAUGAUGUCUCCAAUCUUCGUACAUUGUGGUUGGUAUAUUCUUUUUUAAAGAAAAACCACACAUUUCUUGAAUAUGGUGUGUCAUUUAUCUCAACCAAACGCACUUUCAACUUGCUUCAUGGAGGACUUUUAUUUCUGCAUAGCAACAUUUGUUUGCUUCAUUGAUCGCCAGGAUAUUAUUGUGCCUCCACAUGAAUACACAUAGUGUGGUUGAGAUAGAGCUUUAUACGGAUCAGAUAAAUAUUCUGCAUUUGCGUAACCAAUCAAUUUUGUCUUGGAUUCCUCGGAAUAGAAUAAACCCAUAACUAUGGUCCUUUGAGGAUAUUCAAUCAUGUGAUCAACACCAUUUCAAUGUCCUUUUAUCGGGGAGAAACUGAAUCUUGCCAGUAAAUUUACUGCAAAACAAAUAUCUGGUCAAAUAUUGUUAGUAAGACGCACUAGUGCCCUGAUUGCACCAAGAUAGAGUUUCAUCACCAAGAAACUCUUCAUCCUUGUUUUGAGAUCAAACUGAAUCAUCAUUUAUGUCAAGUGAUCUCAUAAUCAUUGGGGUACUCAAUGAAUGUGAUUUAUCCAUAUUAAAUUGCAUCAAAACUUUUUAGUGUAUGUGCACUGUUAAACAAAUAUUUCAUUUGUCAAAUUAUCAAUCUGUAGGUCAAGACAAAAUUUUGUCUUACCAAAACCUUUUCAUAAAAAUACAAGGACAAUUAGGGUCAUUCUUUUGUACCCUUUUUCUUCCUUGACCAUUUCAAUCCAUAUAAGGAUUCUUGAAGCUUUGUUGAAAAAGUUUCUUUCAAACUCUUAUAUGCUUCAGACACCUCGAUUGUUUCAAGGAUUUUCAUAUAACCUUCAUUCUCUAGCUAGACAUUACAAUUAUUCAUUACAUGCAUUCAAGUUUUUCAUAUGUUGCCAGAUCAAAACAAACCUCAUUUCAUCCACCAAAGGAGAAAACAUCUCCACUAAUAUCAGGAUUUUUGCGAUAAACCUUUAUGCCCCAAGGCACAAACCAUAUUUGAUAUCUUACGGUUAUACUAUCGCAUAAUAAUUUAUUUGUACCCCACUGACAUUAUACCUUGAUUUAUGGACUACCAGUCCAAAAUGUCACUUUUCUAAGUGAAACAAAAUAUACUUGAAUUGUGCAUUUUACUUGGCCAACCAUUUAUCUGUUCACAGUAUAUGACAGAUUUGAAUUCAAGAUCCUCAUCACAAUUUAUAUCAUUGAGCGCUACCUCAUAUCAAAGAUACCGUCGACGGUUAUUUUUGAUACCGAUUCCAACAAGACAUAACUUAUCGAGAUCUCUUCAUUUUUCAUUAUUUCAGGUACCUGAACCUUUUUGAAGAUUUUAUGAAGUGUUAUGUCAAUGUGCUCCUUUAUAGCACUUGCCUCAUUAUCAUGAACAUAUUGAUCAUUUGCUCUUUCCUUCUUCAAGGAAUUUUAUAUUUGGAAUCGAUUUGUCUAUUACGCUUUCGGCGUAUCAUAGACUCUUUCCUUCAAGGACUUCACAUUGGAGCAUUUGCAGCUGAAUUAUAUCAUAGGGUCAGUGCAUUCAUUUGGCAACUGAUUUGCAACAUUAUGCAACUGAAUUAUCCCUUGAACUUUAAGUUCACAUAUUUAUUUUAACGAGGAUCUAGAUAAUUCAUAAUUAACCUCACACAUAAUUUUCAGCUGUCAAUCAUCUCUCCCCCUAAUAUUAGAAAAUCUAACAUUCAUUCCAACCUUAUUUGGAAGUUCAUCUUUGUGCGUGGUGGAGAUAUUAAAAUCAUAAUCGCACAUUCAACAUUUUAGAUGAAAAUUAUAUGGUUCCUAACCCUGAACCAAUUUUAAUGGGGAAACCUUGUUGGUUUGAAGCAUACAUGUGUUGCUACAUGUUAAACAAAAUUAUCUCAUACCAAAUCUUAUUUGGGAGUUUUGUUCUCAUAACCAUGAUUUAGCUAUAAUUGGAGGCAUACAAUUUCUGCUAAAUCAACCAGUAUUAUCAAUAUAAUUUCAUAAUUUGGAACUAUGCUAUUAAUUUUAACAAUUCGAGCAAACAACCUUACAAAAACCAAUUUGUAAGUUGACAACAAAAUACAUGUGACCAUCGCAUAGAUGCAUUAAUCAUAUAGUUGCAAAUGAUCCACAUGACAGGUGAACAUACCCAUAUUCACCCUUUUAUAUGUUCCAAAAAAUUUUAGGGGAUUACAGUCCCAACCUUAGCUGGUACAAUGAUCAUUUUAUCAAGAGAACAAGCAACACAAGAGAAUUCUUGAAGAAUCUUUAUUUCUUCAUCAUAUAAAUCACCUGAAUUCUCAAUCACGUUUGCAUUACAUUUAAUCGGAAUGGUCAACCAGUCAUGCCAACUGAUUUUUAUUUUAGUACACUUAUAAUUUACUUUUACAUGUGAUUUCAUCAGCAUGUACAUGUUUUUAUGGAACAAACAGGAGGAAAAGUGGGGUAAUCUUUUACAUAAACAUUAUAACCCUCUUCGGUUGUAGUAAUUUAUAGUCUCAAUAUUUAUUUUCAUUCAUCCGAAACUUAAAAAGUUUCUUUUGAGACUUACUACAACCCCAAUAUUAUUCCUCUGAUUAUAGCACAACUCGUUAGAGCUUACAAUUAAUUUUGUGUACUAUGACAUAUUGCAUGAUAUUGCAUGACACCAUCCCUAUGGUGAGCAUCUCCUUCAAGGAGGAAAUUAUAUUAUUAUUGUCAUGGUCAAAAUCAUUACGAGCAAGACGUCUUUCUUGCUUUACUUUUGUUGUACCAUAGGUACACAACCAAUGACAAAUUUGUAUUGCCACACAAUAAUGACCACAACCCUUAUAGGCAAGAACUAUUUCUUUCUUUUGCCCUUUCGGUAGUUUAUAUCAUAGUGACGUAUAAAACGUACAAUACAAUUAGCCAUUUCUACCAAAUAAAAUUUAUUUCCUCUCAAAUCUCCCGUAGAGAUGAGAAGUGACAUGUAUCAUUUUUUUUCUCAAACCUUCUAUAGAUGUGAGUUGUGACAUAUAUCCAAUCCAUAAUGAUUUUAUCAUAUCUGAACUCAUUCUCUUAUAGAAUGGUCGAGCAUUCACGAUACUCAUUACAAGUCACAUUCUCUUCAAGGAUUGGACUAAUUAUUUAUAUGUACCUCAUAAAUUUGCAUUAUAAGCACAUUGUCAUGGCCUUAAAAUUCAUCAUAUUUCCAUGACACACCUCAACAUCACUUUGAAAGAUUAAGUGUACCAUCACUUUAUCUUCUUGUAUCAUGAUAGAGGAUUUAUAAAUUUGUCAAAUUAUUGGGUUGACAACAUUCACAAGUCUAAUGACCUUUCAUACCAUUUUGAUAAUAAAAAUUGCCUUCACAUUUUGAAGGACUAUUUGAAGAACUCAUAGUGUUCUUCCUUUUAUCAUUACCACAAUGAUGACUAUUAUAAUUAUGUCCCUGAACUGAUAGUCAUCGCCUUUCCCUUUCGACUGGACAAAUUCAAUAGCUGCUCCUAGCCCGAUUCCAAGCCCUUAUUCAUAUCAUUAAUCAUUUGUCAUCUUUCAGAGUAACAUUCACUGCUACCACAUUCAUAUGAUUGAAUGGAGAAAGUUAACAGACGGAUUUCAGAAUUAUUACAUGUUGCUACCACAUUCUUUUCAAGGAAUGAAGCAAAUUCAAUAGGACGAAUUUCAAGAUUUUUCAUCAAAGCCUUAGUCAUCAUUAUAUCAUCAUUAUGGUGCAUUGACUCGAACUCAAUGUCUUAUCCAUAUAAGGCGUUUUACGCCAUAAUUCUAUGGGACUUGAACCCAAUCACAGUGCAUCAAAACUCAAAUUGAUGUCUUACCCUUUUGGUGCAAUAGAACUUGAAUCUAUCGUCUUAUCCUCAAAUAUUUUUCAUUAUGGUGCAUCCGGACUUUAAUCAGAUGUCUUAACCUUUAACCAACGGUAUAAUAAACCGAAGUACAACAUGACUCAUCCUUUGAGUCUUUCAAAACAAUCAAAAUAACAUUCAAAUUCAUGCUAUUAAAAUUUUAUACCUUCUUCUAUUUAAGAAAUUUUGUAUAGCAUGUCAUAUUCAACCAAUAGUAGUAUAUGUCUUCGGUUCCUGAUAAUUGUUAGUGACUGAAUACUAUUUUUAUUCUAAAUUAUAAAAAUAUUCUAGAAAAUACAUACCUGAUUUUAUGCAUAUAAUACCUUGAUUCUCAUAACGAGAUCAACCAAAACAUGAGUUAAAGAAAACUAAAAAUCAAUCUUAAUUGACUAGAGACUCGUGCUGAUAACGUGUUAUAAAAUCAAGCUCAUGGCAAUAUAAAUAUAAAGAGAUGAAAACAAGAGGAGUAAGAUGAAAGAAAAGAUUUUCUUCUUAUUCAAGUGUAUUUUACAAAAGGUGAAUGAUAUCUCUAUUUAUAGAGUAGAAAUAUCACCCAAAGGCCACCAUGAUAAAUGCUCAAUUAAUAAGUACAUAGUUAUCUAUAAAGGUUCAUGUCCCCUUGGAAAUGUAGAUACAUGAUAGGAUAAGUUCAUGAAGAAAGCAAAUGGACAAUCCACACAAUUCAAUGAAUUUAUAACAUUUAUUUAAUUGUAUGAUAUUGAUAUGUGUUCACAUUUCAAAAUUUGUAUAUAAAUGGGCUACUAUCAAAUAUCAAUGAUUUUCUUUCAAGUAAUAAUAAACAAGUGUAUAAAAAUUGAUGUGUCUCUCUCUCUAUAUAUAUAUGUAUAUGUAUGUAUUAUAUAAAAUGUAAGCAACCUAUUAAAAAAUUAAUUAAAAUAUCAACAAGUCAUUUUAAAAAAUCAAACACCUAUUUUAAUAUCUUGAAAAUUUUCAUUCAUGAUUUAUAUUCGAAAAAAAGUUUGAAAAAAUAUGGGGCUUAUUACUUAUUAGCACUUAGUAGACUAUGGAGAAAAAAUGGGAUUUCAAGUAAUUAAUGAUUGAUUUUUUAUUUUGGAAAACAUGAAAAAUAAAAAUUUCUAAAUUGUAGUUAGACAAUUAUUUUGAUAACGGUCAUAAAAAUAUGUAUUUUAUUUCUCUUUUCAACAUUAAAUAUGAAGAUAAAAAUAAAUAAAAUUUAAUUAACGAAAUUAAUUUAAGUCUGUUAUCACUCGUAAUUAAAUUGUUUUAUUCGUAAUUUCUAAAAGAUAUAUUUAUAUGAUGUAAUAUAGGAUCUUAAAUACAUAUACGAGGUAAAUUUUCCACUUUAUAAUGUUGUGUUAGUCCAACACAACUCCCACUUUUAAAUAAGAAUAAUAAUAAUAAUAUUUUCUUUUUAAGUUCUUUUAAAAAAAUAAUGAUUGGUGAAAUUUGAAGACUAAAAAUCACAUUAUUUACUUAAUUGAAGGGCAAGUUUUGCUUUGUUCAACCAUGCAUGAAUCUAAAUCAUCCAGAGUAUAUAAAAUAUUAUUUCAUGGAUCAAAAGUCGUUAUUUUCCAAGAUUGUUAAUGAUACUACUAUUAAGCUAGUGCUUAGCACUAAUGAGAAUUAAUUAUUGACUACCUUUUCCCUAAGCAUAGAGUUAUUUUAUGAUUUGUGAUUUUGAAAGGUUGCACUAAUUAGAGUGAUGAUUUAACAACUUUAAAUUGCUUAGAAAAAAAACAUAAUUAGGUCCACCACCAUGUGUGGAGGAGGACUAAUUAGUAUACAAUGAUGAUAAGAAAGUGAAAGGGGACACUUAUAAUUGAACAAUAACAUGCAAAAAUAAUUAAAUUUAACAUAACUUUAUACUUAAUAUUCUUGACCAUGGUUUUUGUAUAUAUUCUUAAUAUGAGAAGAAAAAAGAUAAAUAAUUUAAUAUUUGUUUUACUAUUAUUUAUAUUUCUAUAGCAAUCAUCUAAGCCUUUUUUAGAGGGACUUAUAUAGUUCUGUAUGUUCUUUUCAUACUUGUAUUGACAUAUUUCAUUUGAAUUUUGGAUAUAUUGAAAAAAAAUCUUUUCACUUUAAAAAUAUAAAAACAAGAUUGCUACACGCCUAAUACUACCCUCUCUAGAUCUCUCAUUUACGGGAUUACAUAUAAUAUAUUAUUGUUGUUGUAUUUAAGUCCUAAUUGUUUAGUUGAAAUCAUAUUUGUUUUCUCGUUUGUCCCUCAAAAUUUGGUCUCUUCACAUCAAAAUUUUUACAAAUUAAUAUUAUGGAUGUUAUUUUACAUUUAAUAUGUAAUUGCUUCACAUUUUCACUUUUAAUAAUAUUAUGGAUAUUAUUUUACAAAUUAAUAUUAUGUAACAUUUUAUCAACUAAUUGCUUCACAUUUUCACUUUUCAAACCAUAAUUCUGAAAUGUAUUUACUAUUCUAAAUCAUUAUGUUUAUACUCUUCAAUCAUUAUAUUAUACUUCUAACAUAUGAGUUAUGACAUGUCAAAAUAGAUUUAUUAUACAAAAAUGAUCAUAUUUGUUAUUAAAAAACUAGUAUAGACAGUAAAAAUUUUUGGAGAUUUUUCGAGAUGAAUUCAAUCUCUAUUAGGGUUUUUGAGCUACGCUUUCUAAGCUUUAGCUCACGCCUAUAAAAGGUAACAUAUUUCUUUAAAGAGACAUCUUAAAAUUCCAUAAACUCACGAAAUAUUCAUCAGAAGAUCAAGUCAUCAAAUAAUGUCUUUGUCAAAAUUAGUGUUUGACAUUAUUCCCAAUGAUCAAAUACAUAACAAGAAAAUUCAAAUCAUCUUACAUUCGAAAAAUGUGUUACUGACGACAAAAAAUAUUUUACUUUUAAAAAUCUAUCUAAAAAUGUGGGGUAGAGGAAGAGUUUCUUUUGUAUCUCAGUGUAUUCAAGGUCUUAUAUCUGAGGCAAAACCUCUGAUUUUACAAAGAUAUAUUUUGCUCUUUAUAAAAACUAAUUUGCUUGAAGGCAAUUUUCAAAUAAAAGCCAAAAUUAAAUUAUUUGAAUAUUAUAUUAUGUUCAACGUUAAAAGGAUGAUAAAUAAAAUCAAUAAAUUUUUAAAGUCCAGUUAUCCAAAAAUUUAGCAUCUUUUUAUUUCUAAAUAAAUUUAUUAGCUGAACGGAAAAUAAGGGCAAAUGAUUUGCAAGUUUUAGAAAAAAAUAUCAAAUAUUCCUUGAACUAUUUACAAAAAUAUAUUUUAUUCUUUUAAUUUAAAAUCUUCUUAUUUUCUUUGUUUCGUAAAUAAGUUAAACGCAUAAAAAAAAUUAUUUUUCUUUGCUGUGUAUUGUUGCAUCAUGUAUGUAUUUAAAAUUUGCUCAAAUACACAUAAUUUCUUUUUCUUUUUACCUUCUUUCUUUCUUUUCUAUUGGUUUUUAUUUUAUUUUAUUUGGAUUUGAUUUUUAAAAGUACAUAUAAUUUCUUCAAAUUAAUUGAAAGUGAUAAAAGAAAUAAAUAUUUUUUAUGUCCAUUGUCCAACAAUAUUUGUUCACUAUUGAUUUUACACACUUUUUAAGAUUGAUUUUACACACUUUUUAAGAAAUUAUAAAUAGAAGAUAAUUUUAUCAUCCUUUAAAUAUAAUAAAUAUAGUGUCUUGAAAAAAAUGUAAUUUAGUUAAUGAUAUGGAUAAACUAGAAACUAAAUGUAAAAUUAUUCAUUAAUUCCAUAAAUUAGACAAAUAUUUUCUAACAUCUCAAAGUAUAAACACAACGAUUGUUGGACGGAAAGAGUAUUUCACUACUAAAGGAAGGAAAUGAAUUAUAUAUUAUGUGUAUUAACUAAUUGUAAAAUAUUUCGUCUUUUAUCAGUUUUUUCUCAUAUUUUCAUCUCUCACUUGUUUUCAAGCAAGUAUACUCUCCAUGUCAUCUCAAGGAUAUUCUUCUAUCUCAAUUUAUAUGACUUUUUUUUUUAAAUCAUGUAAUUUAGUUUGACGGGGAAGUUGUGUAUGAAAUUUUUAAUUUUUUUUAAAAUUAAAAUUUAUAUAUUUAUAAACUACAUAAAUGGUAUUAUAAAUCAUAAUAAUUAAAAAUUUAAAAUAUUUAAGAUAAAAAAUAAAUUUAUUUAAAUCUCGAGAUCUGAAAAAUAUCACAUUGAGACGAAAGAAGUAUAUUCUUACUGCCUGUUUGGAUUGACUUAUUUUAGGUGUUUUUAAGUCAAAAUAAUUUCUAAGCAGUUUUGAAGUGUUUGACUAAAGUUAAAAAGUACUUAUAAGCACUUAUUUCAAAGUCAAAAAAAACAAAAAUAAGUCGAAUGUCAUAAGCUAGAAAUCCUAACUUAUGGCUUUUAACUUAUAAGUCAUAAGCCAAAAACAAAUCCAAAACAGGCCCUUAGUAGGCGUUUGACCAUGCGAUAUCAUAUCACGAUAUUGUAUCGUGAGAUGACUCCGCAUUUGGACAUGCGAUUUUACAUUGAUUUCAUCUCAUGAUUUCAUUUCAUGAGAUAUAAUUCUAUAUUCUCCAAAAACCAUGAUAUGAGAAUUCCAUAUAAUGAUUUGAGAUAUUUUUAAUACAAAAAUUGACUUACAUGUUUAUAUUUUGUUUAAGCAAUCCUAUAUUUAUAUCUACUAACUAUUUAUUUUAUAUUUAUAGAAAAUUUAUAAUGACAUCGUUACUUUUUUAAACUUAUUAUUCUCAUCAACAUAUAGUCACUUUACCUCACACCAACCGAUUGUUGAGUAAUAUUAACUAGUACACUACAAUUUGUGUUUAAUUUUUUUAUUGAAUUAAAGUUAGAUGAAAUAGUUGCUUACUUACAUGGAGAACAAAUAACAAGUUAAUAAUAUAAUAUGUAAUUUUAUAAACUUUUAUUUUUUUGAUAAAAUUGAAUAAACAAUUGGGAUUAUUUUAAUAGUCUUACAACUUAUAAAAUUUUUACGUUUAUAAAAAAAAUAUAUAACAUCAAAAUUUUAUAUCACAUAUUCAAAUAAAACUUUAAUUUUAUCUCAUAAUCUAUAUUAUAAUAUCAUAUCAUAAUACGAACAAGCCCUACUUAUACUUUAAAAUAGUCCAAAAUAAUAAAAAGGUGACAGAAAAAUAUUCUAACGUGGGGUACACAGGACAGCCCAAAGUAUACGGAAUUUGCGUUAAAGGAGAAAUUUUUUCUAUUAUUUUUUCAUAAUACACAAAUUGCAGUGUACGGCUUACUGUCAUCCAAAUCUGAAUUAGUAGUUUUAUUUAUUUAUUUGAUAAUUAGAAUUUACAUUAUAAAAUUUCUUUUUAAAAUAAUAUUUUGAAUAGCUGAAAUUUGAGAUCUCUAAUUAUAGAUGAAAUAAUCUUAAUACUGUGUCAUAAUUUAUAUUGGUUAAUAGAGUAUUAUUAUCACUCACUAAUCACUAUAUUCUCUUCACAUUGUUACCUAAAACCACAACCCUCCAAACAAAUCAUUAUUAACUUAUAAUACACAAUAUCUUCUUGACUAAAUAAUGAUACACUUUUUAUUUGGCAUUUUGUCACCUAAAGCAACCAACUACUCGAAUUUGGGUGAAAAACUUCCUCUUUUCGUGCUUUCAUUUUCACCCAAUAGUUUUUUUUUCUUUUUUCGUGCUCUUUGAUAUUUAUACUGAAGUUUUGAUUAAUUGCGUGAUGCUCAUUUAAGAAGGAUAAUGUUUUCUAACAUAAUUUUUUUAAUAUUUCAUAAUUAAAUUCAAAAUUCAUUUAAGGAGGAUAAUACUUCCUAACAUAAUUUUUCUUAUAUUUCAUAGUUAAAUUCAAAAUUUUUGAUUAAAAAUAAUAAUUUUAUUUAUUUCACCGUAAUUUUUAUUGACAAAAUCUAAAAUGGUCAUUGAGUCCCGUGUUCAUUCACAUGCAAUGGUUGAUUUAUGUGUCCCUUGGCUUUCUUCCUUCGGCAUUACUUACCUAAUCCUAAUUUAAUUUUUUUCAUUUGUUUCUUCUGUAAAUAAAACAAAUUUAGUAUAUUGAGGUUGAAGUUAAUCUAGACUAAUACAAUUAUAAUAAUAUAUUCAUUUAAAUCUCACAUGUGGUGUUUGCAUAAAGAUACUAUAUUUAGAUUUUAUAUCUUCACAAAUUAGAAGUAAAUACUUUUCAGAUCUUACUUAGUAAAAUUUUAUUAGAAUUGUUAGUAUUAAUGUUGUUGUAUUUAUUAGACCUUAUACCUUUAUUUGAUUACCUUGUGAAGGUGGAAAAUUUAUGUACAAAAAUUAUCAUCACCUUAAUUACAGAACUUAAAAAAAUUAUGAAGGAAAAGAAUUACAUUAAAAAGAAAAUAACAACUAACUAUGAUGGAAAAUACUUGCACUUAAAAAGAACAUAGCAACUAAUAAUAAGGUAAGGAGAGUGUUCAAGUAUUAAACACACCAUUUAACUUAGCGUAAAUUAUGAGUUUUAUUUAUAAAUUAUUAACAGUCUUAAAAAUACUCUUUUAUUUGACUAACUAAAUUUAGAUACACUUUAAUUUCAACAUGAUCUAACAAAUGAUUUCAAUAUCUUGUAGAAGCAUGGUGCUCUUAGUAAAAAAUCGAAAAAAGUGUUGAAAACAACCAAAUCUUGGCGAGAAUUUAAGAUAUAUUUACUCGUAUUGCAAGAUUGGGGUGAAUUUAAGUUUAGUUAAUCAAAUAAAAAAAUAUUUCAAACAUUAUUAAUAAUUUAGGGAUGAAAUUAAUAAUUCACGUAUUUUCAAUAAUUAAGAAAUUUUUGCUCUUUUUACCUGAAAUUGACAGUAUUUUCUCUAUUUAGAGAAGAUCCAUUACUGCUUCCUUCCUAAAUGAAUUGUUAUUAUAGUUAAAGAAAAUUAUCACAAUCUAAAAUGUCACUUUCGAAAUUUAAGAAUGGAGUUAGCAAAUCAUUUUAAUUAUACAUACUUAAAGAGGAAAAAUCAAUCUAUUUCUAUUAAAUAUAUAUAGUAACUAAUUAGUAAAUUAUAUUUUUAUUAAUUAUUUUCGUAAGGUAAAAAGCUAAAGAAACAGUUAAAAGUGGAUUGGAUGGAGUAUCUUUUAUCAUAUUAUAUGGUUUUAGUGCAUGACCAAUUUCUAAAAUUUAUGAUGAUUUUUUAUUUAAAUACUCGAAUUAAGUCAUAUUUCAAUUAAACACUUUAAUUCAUGACAAAAUUAUCUAAUUAAACACUUUUGAUUAAUUUUUUUGAAUUUGUUCGUGUGUAUUCUAUCUCUAAAGUAUAUGGUUAAGUUAGCAAUAUAAACUAUACCGUUUUCUUUAAUUAUAUUUGCACAUUCGCCUCAAUAAGUCAUAAAACUUCAGACGAUUUUUUACUAGACAUUGAUGCGUAUAAUUAGAGGAGCUGACAUAUUUUAUAUGGUUAACUUAACUAUUUAAUAGAUGAAUGAAGAAGUCUUUUUUUUUUUCAAAAGAAAUUGAAUUAAACUAUUUAAUUAGAACAAUUUAUAAGGAGUUUAGGUAUUUAACUGGACUUGUACCUCUUUCACACACACACACACACACAUAUAUAUAUAUAUAAAUUUGAAAAAUAUUAUUUUUAAAUAUAAAAUUUGUCAUUCUUCUUUUAAAAAAAAUAAUAAAAAGUACUAAACAAAAUAAGGAAGGGAGUAGUUUAAUUUGAGCUUACAUGAAAAUUAAUUAAGAGAAGAAUUAUUAAUUGAAAGAUUAUGCAUUGUUAUUUAAUUAUAUAAAGAAAUUUAAAGUAGAGAGAUAAGUAAACAAAGUUACUUAGGCUUCAUCUAUAUUUGUACCUAAUGAUAUAUCUCCAUCUUAAUUAUCGAUUCUCAAUCAUUAAAUCUAUCUAUUUUGAUAAUUUUUUAUUUUUAUACACACUUAAUAGUCUAAAUAGAUUGAAAUGAAUGACAAGAAUCUAUAACAAACUGUUAAUAUUAUUAAGAUGUUUAUUAAAAAUUUUAUAUAAAAAUAAUUAUUCAUCACAACAAUCCAUCCAUAUUUCUUUCUUGCUACCACUGCCAUCUCCCACUAUUUCUUUAUCACCCGUUAUUAUCGAUUAUCAUUUUCAACACAAUUAUUAUUGUCGUCAAUUAUCUUAGUCAGUUAUCAUCAUCAUUAAUCAUUAUUAAUAAUCAUUAUCAUACACCAACAACUCUCUUACAAUCAUCAAUCAAUAAUUAUUAUAUACCGUCGAUAGUUAUCUUUACUCACCAUCAAAAUUAGCUAUUUUACCAUUAUUCAUCACAAUUAUUAAUUAUCACCAUCAACAAUGAAAAUUAACAAUCAUUAUAGUCUUUAAUCACUAUCACCAUUACCAUUAAUUACUUCGUAUAACCACCAUCAUCGUCCAAGACAACAUUGAUACACACACUAACCAUCACUAGCCAUUAAUAUUACUAGCAUCAAUUAUCAUAUAAAAACUUUUUUAUUAAUACAAAAUGCAUAUAACUUAAUCCAUAAUCUCUUUUCAUAUAAUUUAAUUUAUAGCUUUGAUUCCAGACAUCAUGAUGACUCAAUUCUUACAGGAAAAGGGAAUCUUCCAUGCAAUUAGCAAGAAAGUGGUUCUCCUCAACUAAGAAAUUGUAUACAUAAAUUAAUAGAGGCUAUAAUUUAAAAUUAGUUGAUUUUUUUUCCUUAAAUCUCAAAGAGAAAGAAUAAACUUUUUGGGUCAUGUUUCUUUUUUUAUUCACUUUCUUAUUAUUUAUCCUUUCCUUCUGUGAUUACAAUAUAUUUUAAAAAUAUCUAAUUCUUUUCUAUAUUUUAUAUUUGUUUGUGAUAUAUUUUACUUAAACUAAAUGACUAUCGAAAAUAAUAAAAAUAAAAUUAUUUAUACCACACCCUUUUUAGAUGUCACCUAUAAAGUUAACUAAAUUUGUUGUGAUUAUUUUUAUGUCUAAUUAAUAUCAAACAGUUUUUAAAAAAAAAAAAAGAAAAAGAAAAAAAAAGAGUAUCAAGUUUGAGAUAUAACGACAAAUAGAGGUGGUUAUAAUCAUUCGAUUUGACAGCUACUAUGGAAUCCUCUUACGCUAUACUUUUUUUUAUCAUUGUUAUUUAUUGUAUUGUAUGUAUCGUUACUAUAUUUACAAUAUUUUUUAUCGUUAUUUAAAAUAUAUUGUAUUGUGUGUUGUUAAAUUUCAUUAUUACGUAAAAAUAAAAACUCUUAUUUUAUGGAAUAAUCAAUUUAGUGUAUUGUUACUUAAUUUCUUUUUUCAAUUAUAUCUUUAUAUAAUAUUCCCAAAUACUAUUUUACUCUUAACCUUAAUUAUUUAAAUCUAGUCAAACCUCCUACCCUAGGAUAAUUAAUGAUAUUUUUGUAAAUUUAUAAAUUACAAUCAAACCAAACAACUAAAAAGUUAUUAAACAACAACAAACAAUACAGUCUAGACAAACAUUGUAUCUACCAUACAAUACAGUACAAUAAAGUGCAAUACAGUACAAUACAUUAUGAAACAAUAGGUAACAAUAAUCCAAACAAAGUGUUAACGUUUUGUUGUUUAAUUAAAUAAAAAUACUCCUAAUAGGAAAAUUGGAACAAAAUGAGUUAGAAAGUCUGUAGAAUUAUUAGCAGGCGAACAAUUUCCACGAAUAUUUUUAACUUGUGUAUUUUUCUAUCUGUAGAGUAUAUUAAAUAUACAAAAAUAAUUAUAAUAGAGUUAUGAGUCAUUCUAAAGGGCGGGGUUGUGAACAAACGAUCCAACAAAGAAGACUAUUCGUUUCUUAAUCAGAUGUCUCAAAUUUAAAUUAUAGAUAUAAAAUAUUAUUAAUAGAAAAAAUUUCUUCUCAAAUAAGAUCUUGCAUAGCUUAAAUUAAAAUUGAUCCGACUUUAAUGAUGAUAAAAGAAAUUGUUAGGUUGAAAUAAAGCAAAAGUCAAGUAUAGAGAAACACAAGUGCUUUGUGAAUCUAUAGUUGAAAAUUAGUAAAUAUAAAGAUGGUACAAUUUGUUAAGAUGAAGAUAUGACAAAGAAAAUAAAUAAUUAAAAGGGCAGACAAAUCUAAUGGAAUCUCAUCAAACACUUGAGCCAGUUGGGGAAAUUUUAACUAAAAAUAAAUUAAGUACAACAUGUAGACAAUUCUUUACUUGAAAAAUAUUUCCAUUUUUUAAAUUAUUAUUAUUAUUAUUUUUGGCAUCACCUGUCAACAUUUUUUUAUUUCUAUUUUGGAAUCUUACCAAAUUGGAAAUCAGGUGAUGAUAAUAGUACUUGGAAAGAGUACAGGUUGUAUAAAGCAUAUACUUUGGGUAUAUAUAUAUAUAUAUAUAUAUAUAUAUAAAAGUAUUUGCAUCCCCUCCACUUUUAAUUAUCUUGUUGUAUUUUUCGAAAGUUAAAUUGAUUUAUAUUUAUUUAAUAUAUUAAAUGAAAAAAUUAAAUAUUUAAAAAUUAUACGAAAAGUAUUAUAAAUUGAAUUCUUUUGUACAUCAAUAUGAUGCAAAAAUAUAUCGUAAAAAUUAAUCAAAAUUCUUAUUGUUUGACUAUAAAAAGAAAACCAUUAACCAUGACUAUAGAAAAUAAUUAAAAAGAAAAUUGUUUCAAAAUUAAAGGUACUUUUUAGAAAAUAUUUAUCACCUAAUAUUAUCAAAAUUGAGUAUUUUCAAGUUUCAAUUAACAAUAUUACUCUAUCAUAAUAAAAAUCAUAUUAUUUUAUUUUUUUGUUGAAAGUGGUUUUUAUUGUCUAAUCAGAAAAAUAAUCAGUAGUAUUAUAUAAUAGUAUAAGAUAAGAAAAUUGAUGUGUUGAUUUCAAAUAAAGUUGGGAACUUUAGAAUUGUAUUGGACUUACAAACAUUAUCAAAAAGUCAGGAUAAGAAUAUGACACUUAUUUUAUCUCAUUCAUUCUUCAAUCUUUAUCAAAGAAAGAAAAUUUUGCUAGUCCUUUUCCUUAAAUGGAGCUUUACGUCCCAUAAAUUUAAAUUAGUUAAAUUCUAAUCGAAUAUUGAUACCAAAAAAUAAAAAAUAAUAAAAUAAAGAUUUAUCAAGCAUAUCUCUUUCGCACAAGAGAAUGCUAUAUAAAGUACUAUUUCCGUCCCUAGUUAUUUGUCCAUUUUUUCUUUUACAGUUGUCUUUAAUUACUUGUUCAUUUUAACAAAUCAAGAAAUGACAAAUUUUUUGACCUAUUAUAUCCAUAAUUAAAUGACUAAUUACUUUGAAAAAUGUGAAAAUACUUUGAAAAAUGUAAAAAUUUUCAUCCACUUCAUAAUUAAUAGGGAUUAAAUGGUAAACUCACUACGUCAUUAAUUAUUUUCUUAAUAGGUUUGUCAAUUCAAAAGUGGACAAGUAAAAAGGGACAGAGAGAGUAGUAAAUAAAAGUAUAAUGAUAAACUUAUCAAUUUUCUUAAGGGACGUGAAAUCUUGACUUCAAGAGAACUUGAAUUUAAGAGAUUAUUAGAUAAGGGUAUAUGAUAAAUUUACCUAAUCUUUUUAAGAAACGGUAAAUUUUAAACUGAUGAUAUAUAAAUAGAAAUUGAGGGAGUAGUUUUUUAGUGUUGUUAAAUCACCGAUCGACAUUAGUUACAGACAUUUACAAGAGUCUAAAACUACAUAUUUAAUACUCCCUACGUUCUUUUUAUAUGUCACUUUUUAAAAUUACACUUGUAUUAAAAAAAUUAAAUAAUUUUACUCUUUUAUUCUUAUUUAAUAUUUUAUUUAGUUAAUUUUUCAAUAAAUGAUGAAUAUGUUAUAUUUCAAAUUGACUAUUUAAAUUUUUGUGUUUAUUUUCAAGAUCAAAUUUUAUAGAAGACUACUGAAUGGUGAGAAUAAUUAAUCAAUGUAUAAAGAACUCCAAUGAAUAUUAAUUACUUAUCAGUUUUCAUAGGUCGAUUAAAAUAUAUAUUUUUAAGACUAAUUAACUAUUAUAUCAAAGAUAAAGUAAGAAGAAUAUAGUAAUUUAUACAUUAAUUAUAUGAAAUGACACAUAUUAAGAUCUAACUAUUUAUAGAAAGUUAUACUUACAAAAAUGAACGAAAAAAGUAAUAAUUAAGCUAUUUUCAUUAAUUAGUCACUCUUUUUUUAACGUAUGAUUUUGAUCUUCUUGCUAACAUUUUAAUGUUAACUAUGUAUUUGAUUGGAAAAUCUCAGAUUCUUUACGGUCACUUCAAAUAUAGAAUCCAACCAAAAAUAAAGGGAAUUAUAUAAAACAAAUCCAAACAGAAAAAUCAUAUUCAACCAAAAAAAUAACACCAAAAUUUCUGAAAUUCCAUAGUCAAAAUAUAAAAAUUACAUUUAAUUACUCUCAAACUAUUUUUUUUUCCUCUUCACUUCCUCCUCAUAAUUAACAACAAUAAUCAUCAACCUCUUUCUGACUCUGUCACCACCACCAGAACAAAUAAAUACAUUUAAUUUGUCUGGGGAAAAUACCACUAAUUAAUUAACAACCUUAAAAAAAAAAUUAAAAAUUUACCCACAUCUCAUUGGAACCCAGCAAACCUUCAGAAAAUUAAAUUCUGAGUUCUAGGAUGGUUUUAAAAUUUCAAAAAAAAAAAAAAAAACUAACCCUAAAUCUUCCUCUUUCAAACAAGUGAAUCGAACCGGAUUGAACCGAAUCGAACUGAACCGGGGUUUUGUGAAACCCGGUUUAAACUCUAGCAUUAUGCAAAAGAGGAGAAAAUCCUUGUGAAGCAUCUUCUUUACAAGACUGACCGAACCGGACCGGUUUUUUAAAAGCCCGGUUUAAACUCUAGCAUUAUGCAAAAGAGGAGCAAAUCCUUGUGAAGCAGCUUCUUUACAAGACUGAUCUAAACCAUUCAUCAUCUCAUCUAAACCCAAAUGACCGAACCGGUCUUCAUCCCGGUUCAAUAACCUUAAUAUCUCCGAAAAGUAGUCCACUUCACAAGGCAAAACUAAACCGCCGGUUCUUUGAUACCCAAACUCCUCCUCUGCUUUAUCAAGUAGAGAUAUAAAUACAGGGAGGUUCAAGAACCGGGUUGGUAUAACGAACCGGGUUCGUUCUGGACCGACGUAAACCGCUAAAGAUCCUGAAGGGGUGCGACGACGGCGGUUCGAACCGGGUAAAACCGGUUCAUCUGAAUCGGAUGAGGAAUAGGAUAAAACGCCACGGCGCUUAAGGGAUUUAUGUUUCCAUCGCUUAACAACUUGUUUGAGACGUACAAUUUGAGUAAUCAUAUUCACUUUUUUAAUGGUGGAAGCCAUUGUGUGGGUGUGUGAAUUUUUUGUGAUGAGAAGAGUGAGUGAGUGUGAGAGAAAGGAGGAGGUGUUUUGGUGUUUUGGGACUUGUUAUUAUAGAGGGAAAUUUGUUUGGAAGAGUUGAGGUGGGGUGGGGUGGGGGUAAGUAGGGUGGUGGGGUUGUAGAAAAAGUGUAGUAGUACUAAAUUCCAUUGAGUUUGUUUCCUUCUUGUACUUAUUUGAUUUGAUCAAGAUAGUCUUCCAAAAACAUUUUUGGAAAAAUGGUAAUAGUUCGUUAAAAGGUAAGUUAUUUGUAGUUUAUUUGGAUUGACUUAAAGUCAGUUAAAUUGACUUUUAAGUUUGUUUUUGAUUUUUGGAAAUGUUUGAUAAGUAUAAAAAAUAACGUAAAAUAAGUUAAAAAUGACUUAAGAUAAGUUACGAAGUGUUUGACUAGGUAAAAGAAUAACUUAAAAUAAGUCAGAAAUCAAAAGUAGGUCUUUCCCUAUUUAUUAUUUUUUUGACUUAAAUGUUAUUUCAGUUUGACUUGUUAUUUUUUACUUAAAAACUAUUUUUUCUAAGUCAAUCUAAACGGGUUCUUAUUUAGGUAUGAAAUUAAUGUGGUGUUAAUUUGAUUUCACAUAAAAUAAUACAUAUGUACAAGUUAUAACGAAAGAUAUGAAUUAUUUUAGUAUAAAAUAAAUAGACUUCAAUGAUUCUGGUGUUAGUUGCAUCAUAUUUCGGAAGUUUAUUAAAUUACUAUAAUCCUAGAUUAUUCAUAAUUUGUUGAUAUAUUACUCUUUCGCUCGAUACAUAUCAAAAGAUACGUGAGUUAUGUAUCAGAUGUAUAAUUUAUAAUUUAUGUAUUUAUAGACAUUGAAAUUUUGUGAAAUUCUACAAGAUGCGUUCAAUUUGAGUUGGAAUUCUACAAAUUACGUUCAACUCAGAUAAGGAUUCUUGGAGGCUACUCAACCCUAAACCCUAGUUUAUGCCUAUAUAAAGGGUACUAAAUUACCUUAAAAGGCAUCUCGAAAAAUUCACAAAGAGAUCAAGAUUUCGAAUAUUCCACAAAUUGAUGGAUUAUUCAUAUAGAGAGGUCAAAUCUAAAUCAUCCUAGUUCGAGAAAUAUGCCACUAACGGUCCUUGAAUCAUGGAUAAAUCAUCUUAGAGAGUAGAACUAAGGGAGGAACAAAUUUGUACUCACAAUCUUGAUGAAUAAAAUCAUGUUUCUUCAUAUUUUAUUUGUAUGUCUUAUUUAUUUUUCAUAUGUUUACAGUUUGUUGCAAAAAUAUUGGCACGCCCAGUGGGACCAAAUCUGCCCUUCAUCUCUUCUCUCUUAAAUCAAAUAUGAAAAUCUGAAGCUGCAAAGGUGGAAGAAUGAGUAUCUCAAACCUCGUCUUUGAGUUUCACAAGUCUACACUCCGUCAAGCCUUGAAGCAGGGGGCUUUGUAGACAUUGAAAUUUUGUAGGAUUCUACAAGAUGCGUUCAAUUCGAGUUGGGACUCUACAAAUUGUGUUCAACUCAGAUAAGAAUUCUUAGAGGCUACUCAACCUUAAACCCUAGUUUAUGCCUAUAUAAAGGGUACUAAAUCUCCUUAAAAGGCAUCCCGAAAAAUUCAUAAAGAGAUCAAGAUCUCGAAUACUCCACAAAUUGAUGGAUUAUUCAUAUAGAGAGGUCAAAUCUAAAUCAUCCUAGUUCGAGAAAUACGCCACUAACGUCCCUCGAAUCAUGAAUAAAUCAUCUUAGAGAGUAGAAUCAAGGAAGGAACAGAUUUGUAAACUCACAAUCUUGAUGAAUAAAAUCAUGCUUCUUCAUAUUUUAUUUGUAUGAUUUAUUUAUUUUUCAUAUGUUUAAAAUUUGUUGCAAACAGUAUCAGAUAUAUAAUUAUAAACCAUAUUCAUACUGAUUUAGGUAUGUAUUAAUUGUGGUUAUAUAUCAACAAUGACAUUUAUUUCAUAUAUUGCACGGAAACAAAAUUAUAAUGUACGAGGUGGAGUAAUGUAACCAAAUGUCAAGAGGAGGAGAAGAUGGUCCUUUCGUAAUCAAUUCAAAUGAUAGAGAUUUUUUUUUAGAUCAAAUUGCGUAAUUAUCUUAUAAGUAAACUUUGCAUCAUAAUUUAUAAUCCCAACAUAAAAUAAUACAUAAGUUAUCUCAUAACUAAUUUAUACUCACUUCAUUAAGUUAAUUUUUGAUAUGUUUCACAUCUUUUAAGAAAAGUAGAUUAAGACAUAAAUUGGACCUAGUAUUUUAUUUAUACGCUUAUUUAUUAUUGUUAAAUUUAUGAUUAAAAAUAACUAAAUGUUAAUUAAUCAUUAAUUUCAAUACUAAUUAAUAAAGGAUAAAAUUGAAAGAACACUCUAAAAAUAGUUUUGAAAACUAAACAAUUAAGUUAAUUUGAAAAUGAAAAAUGUCUCAAAAAUUAACUUACUGUUAUAAAAUCAAGCUCAUAAGAAUAUAAUCAUAAAGAGAAGAAGACAAGAGAAGUAGAUAGAAGAAAAGGAUUUUUCUUCUUAUUAAAGUGUAUGUAAGUCUCAUCUGUAUAUCUUACAAUAGUGAAUGAACAACCCUAUUUAUAGAGUGAGAAAUCACUCCAAAGGUCACCAUAUUAAGUAUCAUAAUAAAUAGAUACAUUUUUAUCCAAAAAGGUUCAUGUAACCUAGUGAAUAUGAAUGGUUGUUCAUGUACCAACCUUAUGGACUAUCCACUUAUUCAAUGAAUUUAUAACACUCUCCCUUGGAUGUCCAUAGAUAAUGUGCCUCGUUAAAACCUUACUAGGAAAAACCCUGUGGGAAAAAAUUCUAGUGAAGGAAAAAGAGUACACAUAUCUUUUGAUACGCACCAUUUGUUGCCUCAUUAAAAACCUUGCCAGGAAAACCCAGUGGGAAAAAACCUCGAUCAAGGGAAAAAGAGUGCAACACGUAUUGUACUCCCCCUGAUUAAAACAUCACUUAAUUUCUUGUGAUGAUGUCUCCAAUCUUCGUACAUUGUGGUUGGUAUAUUCUUUUUUAAAAAAAACCCACACAUUUCUUGAAUAUGGUGUGUCAUUUAUCUUAACCAGACGCGCUUUUGACUUGCUUCAUGGAGGACUUUUAUUUCUGUAGAGCAACAUUUGCUUCAUUGAUCCCCAGGAUAUUAUUGUGCCUCCACAUGCAAACACAUAGCGUGAUUGAGAUAGAACUUUAUGCAGAUCAGAUAAAUAUUCUGCAUCUGCGUAACCAAUCAAUUUUGUCUUGGAUUCCUCGGAAUAGAAUAAGACCAUAACUAUGGCCCUUCGAGGAUAUUCAAUCAUGUGUUCAACACCAUUUCAAUGUCCUUUUAUCGGGGAGAAAUUGAAUCUUGCCAGUAAAUUUACUGCAAAACAAAUAUCUAGUCAAAUAUUGUUAGUAAGAUGCACUAGUGCCCUGAUUGCACCAAAAUAGAGUUUCAUCACCAAGAAACUCAUCAUCCUUCUUUUGAGAUCAAACUGAAUCAUCAUUUAUGUUAAGUGAUCUCAUAAUCAUUGGGGUACUCAAUGAAUGCGAUUUAUCCAUAUAAAAUUGCAUCAAAACUUUUCAGUGUAUGUGCACUGUUAGACAAAUAUUUCAUUUGUCAAAUUAUCAAUCUGUAGGUCAAGACAAAAUUUUGUCUUACCAAGACCUUUUCAUAAAAAUACAAGGACUAUUAGGGUCAUUCUUUUGUACCCUUUUUCUUCCUUGACUAUUUCAAUCCAUAUAAGGAUUCUUGAAGCUUUAUUGGAAAAGUUUCUUUCAAACUCUUAUAUGCUUCAGACACCUCGAUUGUUUCAAGGAUUUUCAUAUAAUCUUCAUUGUCUAGCUAGACAUUACAAUUAUUCAUUUACAUGCAUUCGAAACUUAAAAAGUUUCUUUUGAGACUUACUACAACCCCAAUAUUAUUCCUCUGAUAAUAACACAACUCGUUAGAGCUUGCAAUUAAUUUUGUGUACUAUAACAUAUUGCAUGACAUCAUCCCUUUGGUGAGCAUCUCCUUCAAGGAGGAAAUUAUAUUAUUAUUGUCAUGGUCAAAAUCAUUACGAGCAAGACGUCUUUCUUGCUUUACUUUUGUUGUACCAUAGGUACACAACCAAUGACAAAUUUGUAUUGCCACACAAUAAUGACCACAACCCUUAUAGGCAAGAACUAUUUCUUUCUUUUGCCCUUUCGGUAGUUUAUAUCAUAGUGACGUAUAAAACGUACAAUACAAUUAGCCAUUUCUACCAAAUAAAAUUUAUUUCCUCUCAAAUCUCCCGUAGAGAUGAGAAGUGACAUGUAUCAUUUUUUUUCUCAAACCUUCUAUAGAGGUGAGUUGUGACAUAUAUCCAAUCCAUAAUGAUUUUAUCAUAUCUGAACCCAUUCUCUUAUAGAAUGGUCGAGCAUUCACG